AAAAACAUGUCUUUUUGAUUUAUAUAUAAGGUCUAACCUGCCCAAUGAUUAAAUUUAAUGGCCGCGGUAUAUUAACUGUGCUAAGGUAGCAUAAUCAUUUGUCUUUUAAUUAAAGGCUAGUAUGAAUGGUUGGACGAGGUGCAUGCUUUCUUUAAUUUAAUUAAUGAACUUAAUUUUUUAGUUAAAAAGCUAAAAUAAAUUUGAGGGACGAGAAGACCCUAUAGAUCUUUAUAAUUAAUAUUAUUAUGUAUUUUGGUAAAAAAAUUAUUAUAAUAUUAUUAAUUAUUUGGUUGGGGUGACUGUAGAAUAUUAUGAACUUCUAUUUUUAUAAUUCAUAAAUUAUUGUUUAAAUUUGAUCCAAAAUUUUUGAUUAAAAGAUUAAGUUACCUUAGGGAUAACAGCGUAAUUUCUUUGGAGAGUUCAUAUCGAUGAAGGAGUUUGCGACCUCGAUGUUGGAUUAAAAUUAGUUUUAUGGUGCAGGUGCUUAAAAACUAAGUCUGUUCGACUUUUAAUUUUUUACAUGAUCUGA
Molecule: ribosomal RNA, 529 nt
Filed under: cf. Castolus sp. 00005122
Lineage: Eukaryota; Metazoa; Arthropoda; Insecta; Hemiptera; Reduviidae
Description: partial 16S ribosomal RNA
Rfam family: Bacterial large subunit ribosomal RNA
Source: RNAcentral